AGAGUUUGAUCCUGGCUCAGGAUGAACGCUAGCUACAGGCUUAACACAUGCAAGUCGAGGGGCAGCAUGAAGUCAGCUUGCUGACUUUGAUGGCGACCGGCGCACGGGUGAGUAACGCGUAUCCAACCUUCCCCUUAGUAGGGCAUAGCCCGUAGAAAUGCGGAUUAAUACCCUAUGUUCUUCGUCGAAGACAUCUGAAGUGAAGCAAAGAUUCAUCGCUAAGGGAUGGGGAUGCGUCUGAUUAGGCCGCAGGCGGGGUAACGGCCCACCUGGCCGACGAUCAGUAGGGGUUCUGAGAGGAAGGUCCCCCACAUUGGAACUGAGACACGGUCCAAACUCCUACGGGAGGCAGCAGUGAGGAAUAUUGGUCAAUGGUCGAGAGACUGAACCAGCCAAGUAGCGUGCAGGAUGACGGCCCUAUGGGUUGUAAACUGCUUUUAUGCGGGGAUAAAGUGAGGGACGUGUCCCUUUUUGUAGGUACCGCAUGAAUAAGGACCGGCUAAUUCCGUGCCAGCAGCCGCGGUAAUACGGAAGGUCCGGGCGUUAUCCGGAUUUAUUGGGUUUAAAGGGAGCGCAGGCUGAUUGUUAAGCGUGACGUGAAAUGUAGCCGCUCAACGGCUGAACUGCGUCGCGAACUGGCAGUCUUGAGUGAGUACGACGUCAGCGGAAUUCGUGGUGUAGCGGUGAAAUGCUUAGAUAUCACGAAGAACCCCGAUUGCGAAGGCAGCUGACGAGCCCUUUACUGACGCUAAAGCUCGAAGGUGCGGGUAUCGAACAGGAUUAGAUACCCUGGUAGUCCGCACGGUAAACGAUGGAUGCCCGCUGU
Molecule: ribosomal RNA, 826 nt
Filed under: uncultured bacterium
Lineage: Bacteria
Description: bacterial SSU rRNA
Rfam family: Bacterial small subunit ribosomal RNA
Source: RNAcentral